Molecule: ribosomal RNA, 430 nt
Filed under: Acidobacteriota bacterium
Lineage: Bacteria; Pseudomonadati; Acidobacteriota
Description: Acidobacteria bacterium partial 16S ribosomal RNA
Rfam family: Bacterial small subunit ribosomal RNA
Source: RNAcentral
UGGGGAAUAUUGGACAAUGGGCGAAAGCCUGAUCCAGCCAUGCCGCGUGUGUGAAGAAGGCCUUUUGGUUGUAAAGCACUUUAAGCGAGGAGGAGGCUACUUAUAUUAAUACUCUAGGAUAGUGGACGUUACUCGCAGAAUAAGCACCGGCUAACUCUGUGCCAGCAGCCGCGGUAAUACAGAGGGUGCGAGCGUUAAUCGGAUUUACUGGGCGUAAAGCGUGCGUAGGCGGCUUUUUAAGUCGGAUGUGAAAUCCCUGAGCUUAACUUAGGAAUUGCAUUCGAUACUGGGAAGCUAGAGUAUGGGAGAGGAUGGUAGAAUUCCAGGUGUAGCGGUGAAAUGCGUAGAGAUCUGGAGGAAUACCGAUGGCGAAGGCAGCCAUCUGGCCUAAUACUGACGCUGAGGUACGAAAGCAUGGGGAGCAAACAGG